CUUGCUUCUCUUGAGAGCGGCGGACGGGUGAGUAAUGCCUAGGAAUCUGCCUGGUAGUGGGGGAUAACGCUCGGAAACGGACGCUAAUACCGCAUACGUCCUACGGGAGAAAGCAGGGGACCUUCGGGCCUUGCGCUAUCAGAUGAGCCUAGGUCGGAUUAGCUAGUUGGUGAGGUAAUGGCUCACCAAGGCGACGAUCCGUAACUGGUCUGAGAGGAUGAUCAGUCACACUGGAACUGAGACACGGUCCAGACUCCUACGGGAGGCAGCAGUGGGGAAUAUUGGACAAUGGGCGAAAGCCUGAUCCAGCCAUGCCGCGUGUGUGAAGAAGGUCUUCGGAUUGUAAAGCACUUUAAGUUGGGAGGAAGGGCAUUAACCUAAAACGUUAGUGUCUUGACGUUACCGACAGAAUAAGCACCGGCUAACUCUGUGCCAGCAGCCGCGGUAAUACAGAGGGGGCAAGCGUUAAUCGGAAUUACUGGGCGUAAAGCGCGGGGUAGGUGGUUUGUUAAGGGAGAAAAGCG
RNAcentral lists this ribosomal RNA (524 nucleotides) under Pseudomonas sp. LL49. Its description in RNAcentral is "bacterial SSU rRNA". It matches the Rfam family "Bacterial small subunit ribosomal RNA", at positions 79 to 603 of the family's 1533-position model. Lineage: Bacteria; Pseudomonadati; Pseudomonadota; Gammaproteobacteria; Pseudomonadales; Pseudomonadaceae. The record is from RNAcentral.